This 77-nucleotide transfer RNA is filed under the name Bacillota bacterium. RNAcentral describes it as "tRNA-Arg". It matches the Rfam family "tRNA". From Rfam's summary of the family: Transfer RNA (tRNA) molecules are approximately 80 nucleotides in length. Their secondary structure includes four short double-helical elements and three loops (D, anti-codon, and T loops). Further hydrogen bonds mediate the characteristic L-shaped molecular structure. tRNAs have two regions of fundamental functional importance: the anti-codon, which is responsible for specific mRNA codon recognition, and the 3' end, to which the tRNAs corresponding amino acid is attached (by aminoacyl-tRNA synthetases). tRNAs cope with the degeneracy of the genetic code in two manners: having more than one tRNA (with a specific anti-codon) for a particular amino acid; and 'wobble' base-pairing, i.e. permitting non-standard base-pairing at the 3rd anti-codon position. The record is from RNAcentral. Lineage: Bacteria; Bacillati; Bacillota.
GCGAUCGUAGCUCAGCAGGAUAGAGCAUCGGCCUUCUAAGCCGAGUGUCCGGGGUUCGAAUCCCUGCGGUCGCGCCA